This is a non-coding RNA of Obba rivulosa, 89 nucleotides long. NCBI's taxonomy places the organism in Eukaryota, Fungi, Basidiomycota, Agaricomycetes, Polyporales, Gelatoporiaceae. The record is from the annotation of a GenBank genome assembly.
GGCGAGAUGGCCGAGCGGUCCAAGGCGCCAGACUAAGGCACCUUGCUAUCUGGUCCGAAAGGGCGUGGGUUCGAAUCCCACUCUCGUCA